This is a long non-coding RNA of Brienomyrus brachyistius, 714 nucleotides long. RefSeq lists it as uncharacterized. The transcript is spliced from 2 exons. NCBI's taxonomy places the organism in Eukaryota, Metazoa, Chordata, Actinopteri, Osteoglossiformes, Mormyridae. The record is from RefSeq and is a predicted model, not a curated record.
CUAUCUGGCUUGCCUUUAACUCUGUUCUUUAUCUUCACGCUGGAUUUUAAGUAGCAGAUUUGCUUCUUUUAAUGGUCCCCAGUGGGGAAGUUUCCACAGCCCAGUUAAUAUCUUCCACUGACUUUUUUUUUUAUUUUGUUUUAUAAUGAAUGGAAUUGGAGAUUAGGCUUGAAGACAAAUGAACAGAAAACUUUACUGCAAAAGUCCAAACCAAGCAAAGACAAAAGAAUGGAUACUGUAGGCCUGUGCAUCAUGCGAGUGCUGCCAACCACUUAAGGGAGACAUCAAAAGAAGAAAUAAGAAAACAACAGAAGAUGGCAAAUCAGAAGAUGAGCAGUUCAUCAGAUCAAGGUUUUAUAAGUUGAUUUCCAAGAAAAACUGUUUUUCUGCAAAACCUCAAUCCUGCCCUGUUCAUCGGUAUCAAAUUCUGGAAUUUAUAUUGGUUUGUUUGUGGCAAAGUCUGAGACUCGCCAUAUUUGUUAAUACCAAACUCUGUGACUCGUCUCAUUUGUCUAUGUUGAAUUCCUAGACUCGGCUGGGUUGUCUGUCUCUACACCGGAGAUUGUCUUUGGUUAAUGAAUGCCAAUGCUCUCCAUGUAGACUGGAACCUUCCAUUGGCCAUUCUCUUCACAUUACUUUCCAUCACAGUGCUGCCCUUUAGCUUUGACCUUCAACAGGACUUUUUCUGAAAAUAAAAGCAUGUUCUAAAAACCA